This 253-nucleotide ribosomal RNA is filed under the name uncultured bacterium. RNAcentral's name for it is "partial 16S ribosomal RNA". It matches the Rfam family "Bacterial small subunit ribosomal RNA", at positions 524 to 776 of the family's 1533-position model. The record is from RNAcentral.
UACGUAGGGGGCAAGCGUUGUCCGGAUUUAUUGGGCGUAAAGAGCGUGUAGGCGGCCAGAUAGGUCUGCUGUGAAAACUCGAGGCUCGACCUCGAGCUGUCGGCGGAAACCAUCUGGCUAGAGUCCGGAAGAGGAGAGUGGAAUUCCUGGUGUAGCGGUGAAAUGCGCAGAUAUCAGGAAGAACACCUAUGGCGAAGGCAGCUCUCUGGGACGGUACUGACGCUGAGACGCGAAAGCGUGGGGAGCAAACAGG